Molecule: non-coding RNA, 1495 nt
Organism: Cicer arietinum (chickpea)
Lineage: Eukaryota; Viridiplantae; Streptophyta; Magnoliopsida; Fabales; Fabaceae
Source: RefSeq, a predicted model, not a curated record
AUUAAGCUUUUAUUGUUUGAAUAUCCCACUAUUUCAAAGAUCACGCGUGAAUUAAUCAAAUGGUCUUUCAUAAUAAUGGAGACCAACAUUUACAUUAUUUAUCCGGUUUCUCAAUUCUCACUCAAGAGAAGAGUAAUGGACAUUUGGUUCCAAACUAUUUGGUUUUGUUUGCAUUUGAUCAAUUUCAUUUGAAAUCAAAUUAUUUUCCAAGGCAAAGAAAAGAAAUAGGGGUGGAAGGAAACAAUAGCGAAACAAGCAAACUUUAUUAAUGGGCUUGGUUGAAAUAAAGACAAGUCAUGUUUGGUAGCUACUCCAGAGGAAACUGGUUUUUGGACGACAAAGGCAAAUGGAAGACUUAUGUUAAAGGCAAAGGAAAUAUAGACAUCGUCGACAUUCUUUUUACCAGCACCCAGAUAUUUGAUACAAGGGACGCUGUUGUGAAUUGAGCUAAAGAAAUCGGUAUAAAAAAUAAAGUUACUGUUAUCAUCAGAAUAUCAGAUAUAGAGACAAGAGAAAAAUGGAGGAAACAUGAAUUAAAUUAGGUUGUGACAAAGGAGAAAAAUACAAGUGUGUUGCUAAUUCAAAUCGAAGUUUAACAAAUAAGUGUGAUUGUCAUUUCAAGCUUAGAUCAAAACCAUUAAAAGAUGGUUCAUGAUGGACAAUUAAAGUAAUUUAUGGAGUUCACAACCAUAAAUUGUCUGAUACUUUAGAGGGGCAUGCAUAUGUUGAACGCUUAGAUGAAGAAGGAAAAAAACAUGUUCAUGACUUAACAAACUAUAAUGUUGCACCGAUGCACAUAUUAUUCUUAUUGCAAAACCGAUAUAAGAACAAUAAUACUGAGAUUUCACAAAUAUAUACACAUGAGUAUGGUUCGAUUGCACGUGAGAGGUAAUAGAACAGAUAUGCAACAUUUAUUCCAGUUAAUUGAAGAUGCAAAAUAUGCGUGUUGGAAUAGUAAGCGUGAAGACUCAUAUGUUAUGAGAGAUAUUUUUUUGGCGCAUCCAGAUUCAAUGAAUUUGUUGAAUUGUUUCCGAUUGUGUUGAUUAUGGACAAUGUCUACAAAACCAAUAAAUAUAAAAUAUCAUUACUCAAAAUUGUUGGUAUAACAUUAACAAAUAUGACAUUUGUAGUUGGAUUUGCUUAUUUGGAAUGUGAGCGGGAAGAAAACUUUUGUUGGGCAUUAGGGAUGCUAAGAUAACUGUUUGACACAAAAUAAUUUUUCUUAAGUCAUUGUGACAAACAGGGAUCUUGCGUUAAUGAAUGCAAUUGGUAUUGUAUUUCCACGUACUGUUAAUUUGCUUUGUCGAUUUCAUAUCGACAAAAAUGUUGGAGCAAAAUGCAAGGAAUAUGUCUUAAAGGAUAGACAAUAGUCAAUAUUGAAUAUGUGAAAAUACAUUAUGUAUUGCAGUGAGGAAAAAAAAGUAUAUUAUGUGUUUGCACAUGUUUGAGCAAUCAUGUGUCGAUAAUAAAAUGUUUGUUGACUAUGAGAAAUAAA